This 74-nucleotide transfer RNA is filed under the name Jeotgalicoccus aerolatus. Its description in RNAcentral is "tRNA-Arg". It matches the Rfam family "tRNA". Rfam says of the family: Transfer RNA (tRNA) molecules are approximately 80 nucleotides in length. Their secondary structure includes four short double-helical elements and three loops (D, anti-codon, and T loops). Lineage: Bacteria; Bacillati; Bacillota; Bacilli; Caryophanales; Staphylococcaceae. The record is from RNAcentral.
GUCCCGGUAGCUCAGCUGGAUAGAGCGGUGCCCUCCUAAGGCAUAGGCCGUGGGUUCGACUCCCUCCCGGGACG